UUCCAUCGCUAAGUCAAGGCGCCUUUCUGCCUCGUUGCAAUUUUUCUCCAUGAAAGUGUGCCUGUUACAGCUUUGGUACAUCAAGCAGCGCUCGCCGCCAUCUGGCGGUCUUCGACCUGGCAUCCGUCUUGGAAGCCUUGUCAUUAGAGCGCAUGGCGUGUUUCGUUUGAGUUGAGGUCUGCUUGGAGCGGGAAUUUCUCGGUCCUUCAACUCAUGGCAUACCUCUUAGUAAUGUCUCACACAUAC
Molecule: small nucleolar RNA, 246 nt
Filed under: Exophiala dermatitidis NIH/UT8656
Lineage: Eukaryota; Fungi; Ascomycota; Eurotiomycetes; Chaetothyriales; Herpotrichiellaceae
Description: Small nucleolar RNA snR191
Rfam family: Small nucleolar RNA snR191
Source: Rfam by way of RNAcentral